AUCAGUGGCGAACGGGUGAGUAACACGUGAGUAACCUGCCCCAGACUCUGGGAUAAGCACUGGAAACGGUGUCUAAUACCGGAUACGAGCUUCAGCCGCAUGGCUAGGAGUUGGAAAGAAUUUCGGUCUGGGAUGGACUCGCGGCCUAUCAGCUAGUUGGUGAGGUAAUGGCUCACCAAGGCGACGACGGGUAGCCGGCCUGAGAGGGUGACCGGCCACACUGGGACUGAGACACGGCCCAGACUCCUACGGGAGGCAGCAGUGGGGAAUAUUGCACAAUGGGCGCAAGCCUGAUGCAGCAACGCCGCGUGAGGGACGACGGCCUUCGGGUUGUAAACCUCUUUUAGUAGGGAAGAAGCGAAAGUGACGGUACCUGCAGAAAAAGCACCGGCUAACUACGUGCCAGCAGCCGCGGUAAUACGUAGGGUGCAAGCGUUAUCCGGAAUUAUUGGGCGUAAAGAGCUCGUAGGCGG
RNAcentral lists this ribosomal RNA (473 nucleotides) under uncultured Salinibacterium sp. RNAcentral's name for it is "bacterial SSU rRNA". It matches the Rfam family "Bacterial small subunit ribosomal RNA", at positions 91 to 578 of the family's 1533-position model. The record is from RNAcentral. Lineage: Bacteria; Bacillati; Actinomycetota; Actinomycetes; Micrococcales; Microbacteriaceae.